GGGAUAAAAGUCACUCAGAAUAGCCAAGGAGACUGCCUGUAAGCCGAUUGCAUUUCCACCCAAAUGAAAACCUCAAGGACACAGGCAAGUCAUCCUUGGCUACCAAAGUACCACUCUUUUAUCU
Non-coding RNA from Musa acuminata subsp. malaccensis (wild Malaysian banana), 124 nucleotides. The record is from Rfam. NCBI's taxonomy places the organism in Eukaryota, Viridiplantae, Streptophyta, Magnoliopsida, Zingiberales, Musaceae.